This 2915-nucleotide ribosomal RNA is filed under the name Vibrio harveyi. RNAcentral's name for it is "23S ribosomal RNA". It matches the Rfam family "Bacterial large subunit ribosomal RNA". The record is from RNAcentral. Lineage: Bacteria; Pseudomonadati; Pseudomonadota; Gammaproteobacteria; Vibrionales; Vibrionaceae.
GUUGUAUGGUUAAGUGACUAAGCGUACACGGUGGAUGCCUUGGCAGUCAGAGGCGAUGAAGGACGUAUUAACUUGCGAUAAGCCCAGAUUAGGUAGUAAAAACCAUUUGAGUCUGGGAUUUCCGAAUGGGGAAACCCACUAGCAUAAGCUAGUAUCGCUGCGUGAAUACAUAGCGCAGCGAGGCGAACCGGGGGAACUGAAACAUCUAAGUACCCCGAGGAAAAGAAAUCAACCGAGAUUCCGAAAGUAGCGGCGAGCGAAAUUGGACUAGCCCUUAAGCUUUUUAUGCGUCAGGUGAAACUUCUGGAAAGUUGUGCGAUACAGGGUGAUAGCCCCGUAACCGGCAACGCAUAUAAAGUGAAAUCGAGUAGGGCGGGACACGUGAUAUCCUGUCUGAAUAUGGGGGGACCAUCCUCCAAGGCUAAAUACUACUGACUGACCGAUAGUGAACCAGUACCGUGAGGGAAAGGCGAAAAGAACCCCUGUGAGGGGAGUGAAAUAGAACCUGAAACCGUGUACGUACAAGCAGUAGGAGCACCUUCGUGGUGUGACUGCGUACCUUUUGUAUAAUGGGUCAGCGACUUAUAUUCAGUGGCAAGGUUAACCAUCUAGGGGAGCCGUAGGGAAACCGAGUCUUAACUGGGCGUUCAGUCUCUGGAUAUAGACCCGAAACCAGGUGAUCUAGCCAUGGGCAGGUUGAAGGUUGAGUAACAUCAACUGGAGGACCGAACCGACUAAUGUUGAAAAAUUAGCGGAUGACUUGUGGCUAGGGGUGAAAGGCCAAUCAAACCUGGAGAUAGCUGGUUCUCCCCGAAAGCUAUUUAGGUAGCGCCUCGGACGAAUACUACUGGGGGUAGAGCACUGUUAAGGCUAGGGGGUCAUCCCGACUUACCAACCCUUUGCAAACUCCGAAUACCAGUAAGUACUAUCCGGGAGACACACGGCGGGUGCUAACGUCCGUCGUGGAGAGGGAAACAACCCAGACCGCCAGCUAAGGUCCCAAAUUACUACUAAGUGGGAAACGAUGUGGGAAGGCUCAGACAGCCAGGAUGUUGGCUUAGAAGCAGCCAUCAUUUAAAGAAAGCGUAAUAGCUCACUGGUCGAGUCGGCCUGCGCGGAAGAUGUAACGGGGCUAAGUAGUAAACCGAAGCUGCGGCAAUGCACUUUAGUGCAUUGGGUAGGGGAGCGUUCUGUAAGCGGUUGAAGGUGUGUGGUAACGCAUGCUGGACGUAUCAGAAGUGCGAAUGCUGACAUGAGUAACGAUAAAGGGGGUGAAAAACCUCCUCGCCGGAAGACCAAGGGUUCCUGUCCAACGUUAAUCGGGGCAGGGUAAGUCGACCCCUAAGGCGAGGCCGAAAGGCGUAGUCGAUGGGAAACGGGUUAAUAUUCCCGUACUUCUUACAAUUGCGAUGGGGGGACGGAGAAGGCUAGGUGGGCCUGGCGACGGUUGUCCAGGUUCAAGUGCGUAGGCUUAAGAGUUAGGUAAAUCCGGCUCUUUUUAAGGCUGAGACACGACGUCGAGCUACUACGGUAGUGAAGUCAUUGAUGCCAUGCUUCCAGGAAAAGCCUCUAAGCUUCAGAUUGUAAGGAAUCGUACCCCAAACCGACACAGGUGGUCGGGUAGAGAAUACCAAGGCGCUUGAGAGAACUCGGGUGAAGGAACUAGGCAAAAUGGUACCGUAACUUCGGGAGAAGGUACGCUCUCGACGGUGAAGUCCCUCGCGGAUGGAGCUAUUGAGAGUCGCAGAUACCAGGUGGCUGCAACUGUUUAUUAAAAACACAGCACUGUGCAAAAUCGUAAGAUGACGUAUACGGUGUGACGCCUGCCCGGUGCCGGAAGGUUAAUUGAUGGGGUUAGACUUCGGUCGAAGCUCUUGAUCGAAGCCCCGGUAAACGGCGGCCGUAACUAUAACGGUCCUAAGGUAGCGAAAUUCCUUGUCGGGUAAGUUCCGACCUGCACGAAUGGCGUAAUGAUGGCCACGCUGUCUCCACCCGAGACUCAGUGAAAUUGAAAUCGCUGUGAAGAUGCAGUGUACCCGCGGCUAGACGGAAAGACCCCGUGAACCUUUACUACAGCUUGGCACUGAACAUUGACCCUACAUGUGUAGGAUAGGUGGGAGGCUUUGAAGCACAGUCGCUAGAUUGUGUGGAGCCGUCCUUGAAAUACCACCCUUGUAGUGUUGAUGUUCUAACGUUGACCCCUAAUCGGGGUUGCGGACAGUGCCUGGUGGGUAGUUUGACUGGGGCGGUCUCCUCCCAAAGCGUAACGGAGGAGCACGAAGGUGGGCUAAUCACGGUUGGACAUCGUGAGGUUAGUGCAAUGGCAUAAGCCCGCUUGACUGCGAGAAUGACGGUUCGAGCAGGUGCGAAAGCAGGUCAUAGUGAUCCGGUGGUUCUGAAUGGAAGGGCCAUCGCUCAACGGAUAAAAGGUACUCCGGGGAUAACAGGCUGAUACCGCCCAAGAGUUCAUAUCGACGGCGGUGUUUGGCACCUCGAUGUCGGCUCAUCACAUCCUGGGGCUGAAGUCGGUCCCAAGGGUAUGGCUGUUCGCCAUUUAAAGUGGUACGCGAGCUGGGUUUAGAACGUCGUGAGACAGUUCGGUCCCUAUCUGCCGUGGGCGUUGGAAGAUUGAAGGGGGCUGCUCCUAGUACGAGAGGACCGGAGUGGACGAACCUCUGGUGUUCGGGUUGUGUCGCCAGACGCAUUGCCCGGUAGCUAAGUUCGGAAUCGAUAACCGCUGAAAGCAUCUAAGCGGGAAGCGAGCCCUGAGAUGAGUCUUCCCUGAUACUUUAAGUAUCCUAAAGGGUUGUUCGAGACUAGAACGUUGAUAGGCAGGGUGUGUAAGCGUUGUGAGGCGUUGAGCUAACCUGUACUAAUUGCCCGUGAGGCUUAACCAUACAACACCCAAGGGGUUU